RNAcentral lists this unclassified non-coding RNA (1641 nucleotides) under Hevea brasiliensis (rubber tree). The record is from RNAcentral. Lineage: Eukaryota; Viridiplantae; Streptophyta; Magnoliopsida; Malpighiales; Euphorbiaceae.
GGGGACUGUCCACCAUGUGGAGAGAUUUGUGGUAGGAGGCUUCCAUGUAAAAAUCACAAAUGCCCAGCACCAUGCCAUCGAGGUGCCUGUGCUCCUUGCCCUCUAAUGGUUACAAUCUCAUGUGCUUGUGGUGAGACACACUUUGAGGUUCCAUGUGGUAUUGAGAUGAAUCAAAAGCCUCCUAAGUGUCGAAAAUUGUGUGGUAUACCUCCUUUAUGCAGGCAUGGAUCAGACAGCAAGCCACACAGAUGCCACUAUGGAGCAUGCCCUCCUUGUCAGUUACUUUGUGAAGAAGAAUAUCCAUGUGGCCAUACAUGCAAAUUGAGAUGUCAUGGUCCAAGACCACCACCUAAUCCAGAAUUCACAUUGAAACCGAAGAAAAAGAAGCCAAAUCAUCAGAGUGAAUGUACUCCUGGGACUUCCUGCCCUCCUUGCCCAGAACUUGUUUGGAGGUCUUGCGUAGGCCAGCACCUCGGAGCAGAGAGGAUGAUGUUCUGCUCGAACAGGGCACUGUUUUCUUGUGAUAAUUUGUGUGGCAAUCCUCUGCCUUGUGGCAAUCACUAUUGUACGAAAACUUGUCAUGCUCUUAAGAGCCAGUCCCAAAAAUCAUUGGCUCAGCGCAGUGGUGAGCCUUGUGAAGAGUGCCAUCUUCCUUGUGAAAAGGAGAGGAAGCCCACUUGCCCACAUCCCUGUCCUCUUUCAUGUCAUCCUGGGGAGUGCCCCCCUUGCAAAGUGCUUGUGAAACGGGCUUGUCACUGUGGUUCUAUGGUCCAUGUUUUCGAGUGCAUAUACUACAACAGCUUGUCAGAAAAGGAGCAAAUGACUGUCCGCUCAUGUGGUGGAUCCUGUCACAGGAAGUUGCCCAAUUGUACACAUUUAUGCCCGGAGACCUGUCAUCCUGGUCAAUGCCCAUCAUCUGACAAAUGCAGCAAAAAGGUUACCGUUCGUUGUCAAUGCCAAACAUUGAAAAAAGAAUGGCUAUGUCAAGAUGUUCAAGCAGCCUAUCAAAAAGCAGGUCGGGACCCCAAAGAUGUAUCUAAAAAUCACUUUGGAAUUGGACUUCUUCCUUGUAAUUCAGAUUGCAAGAGUAAAGUAAAGGUUGUGGAUCAGGAAUUGCAUUUGCGCAAAUCCAAAGAUUUCGAGGAAAAGGAGCCUGAUACUGAGAAGAACACAUCAAAGCGUAGAAAACGACGAGAACGAGUACAAGAAACAAAGCAGAUUUCAAAACUUCAGAAAUAUGUUGCCACCAUGAAGUGGCUUCUUCUAGUAGUCAUCCUUGUAGUGACUCUGGUUGCAGCCGCGUAUUUUGGUUACAAGGGUCUCUUGUGGCUCUCUGAUUGGAUGAAUGAAGUAGAAGAACAAAGACUAAGGAGGAGAAGAUACCCACGAAUCUAAUAAUUCUGAAGCUGUAACUCGAGUCUUCAUAGAGUUAUUCAACAUACUCCAUAAAUUAAACAUUGAUAUGUAUUUACCCCUCACUAUUUUUUUUUCCGAUCAAAAUAAUGCUCGUCCACCAUGUCUGUCAUGAAGUGAGUAUGAAAGUGCAGGAAGUUUUUGAAUUUUUUUUUGUUCUUCAUUUUCAGUAGUCUCCCAGUAUUCUAUAUAUAUAUAUCAAGGCUUGUAUUUGAGGAGUAUGUUGAA